RNAcentral lists this ribosomal RNA (406 nucleotides) under uncultured bacterium. RNAcentral's name for it is "partial 16S ribosomal RNA". It matches the Rfam family "Bacterial small subunit ribosomal RNA", at positions 30 to 526 of the family's 1533-position model. The record is from RNAcentral.
AUUGAACGCUGGCGGCAGGCCUAACACAUGCAAGUCGAACGAGUGGCGGACGGGUGAGUAAUGUCUGGGAAACUGCCCGAUGGAGGGGGAUAACUACUGGAAACGGUAGCUAAUACCGCAUACCAUCGGAUGUGCCCAGAUGGGAUUAGCUAGUAGGUGGGGUAAAGGCUCACCUAGGCGACGAUCCCUAGCUGGUCUGAGAGGAGGACCAGCAACACUGGAACUGAGCCACGGUCCAGACUCCUACGGGAGGAAGCAGUGGGGAAUAUUGGACAAUGGGCGAAAGCCUGAUGCAGCCAGCCCGCGUGUAUGAAGAAGGCCUUCGGGUUGUAAAGUACUUUCGGCAGGGAGGCGUUACCCGCAGAAGAAGCACCGGCUAACUCCGUGCCAGCAGCCGCGGUAAUAC